RNAcentral lists this long non-coding RNA (929 nucleotides) under Homo sapiens (human). RNAcentral's name for it is "non-protein coding lnc-BRF2-7:8". Lineage: Eukaryota; Metazoa; Chordata; Mammalia; Primates; Hominidae. The record is from RNAcentral.
CUUGAGGCAACCCAUCUGAGGUGGCAUCCAGAGGAGACUGGCUGGCCCCUCCUUCACCUUGGAUGUAGUGCUGUUUCUAGGAUCUCUUUUCAAUCAGCAAAACAGGGGAUGUUCCAAGAGGGUGUGGAUUCCCUGCCAUCCCACAUGGUCAAGUGGAGGGGACGGGAAAAAGCUAUGAAGGGUUUGUGACCACACAGACUCUCCUGGCCCCCUGUCCUUUUGGAAAGAAGACAGGGAUGAAAUAUAAUCAAGCAAUUAACCACCCCCAUCAUCACCAAGAACAACAGUAUCAACAAGAAGAACAGGGACAACAAAACCCACGGAUGAAACAUUCCUUUCUCAGCUCAGAUCUUAUCUGGUGCGUUCUCUCUCUGCUCUGUCUUGGUGUGUGGUUUAGAGAAACAUGGACAACGCUGUUUGGAAGAACAGAACUUGCCCUCUGCUGAAGGUGCUGCCUCACCAUGAGGUUAUACUCCUACCUCAGGGAUCACAAGGUGGCUCCCUGAACAGCUCCUUGCUGCCAUUUUGUGAUGACACCAUCUUUAACACCUGGCUUCUGAAGUCUCAUGGAGAGGUCUCUAUCCAGGGAGUACAUUGGAUACUUUCGCGGUCUCUGUGGACGGGGAGACAGCACACUGGAGACUAACACCAUGUUGGCCUGGACAUGAUGCAUGACCCUUACGCCCAUGUUCCAUUGGUGAGACCCAGUCGUGUGGAUCGCACUAGCUGCAUGGGCUGGGUUGUGGGUGUGGGUGGUGAAAAUUGUAGACUGGGCAUCUGCUCCCCAGAAGCAACUCAACAUGGUGUUGGGGGAGCAUGAAUCUUUGGUGGUCAGUAGUUUUUUCUACCACACCAUCCUAUGCAAAGCUGUGAAGUAACUGAAGUUUGUCUUGACUUCUCUAUCCAACCCAUCUCCCCGCAGCCUUCCA